Molecule: microRNA, 21 nt
Filed under: Drosophila melanogaster (fruit fly)
Lineage: Eukaryota; Metazoa; Arthropoda; Insecta; Diptera; Drosophilidae
Description: dme-miR-966-5p
Gene: dme-miR-966-5p
Source: miRBase by way of RNAcentral
UGUGGGUUGUGGGCUGUGUGG